UACGGGGGGGGCUAGCGUUGUUCGGAAUUACUGGGCGUAAAGCGCGUGUAGGCGGCCCGGAAAGUCGGAUGUGAAAGCCCUGGGCUUAACCUAGGAAGUGCAUUCGAAACUGCCGGGCUUGAGUUCUGGAGAGGAAGGCGGAAUUCUCGGUGUAGAGGUGAAAUUCGUAGAUAUCGAGAGGAACACCGGUGGCGAAGGCGGCCUUCUGGACAGUGACUGACGCUGAGACGCGAAAGCGUGGGGAGCAAACAGG
RNAcentral lists this ribosomal RNA (253 nucleotides) under uncultured bacterium. Its description in RNAcentral is "partial 16S ribosomal RNA". It matches the Rfam family "Bacterial small subunit ribosomal RNA", at positions 524 to 776 of the family's 1533-position model. The record is from RNAcentral.